Molecule: transfer RNA, 75 nt
Filed under: Candidatus Saccharimonadota bacterium
Lineage: Bacteria; Candidatus Saccharimonadota
Description: tRNA-Asn
Rfam family: tRNA
About the family: Transfer RNA (tRNA) molecules are approximately 80 nucleotides in length. Their secondary structure includes four short double-helical elements and three loops (D, anti-codon, and T loops).
Source: RNAcentral
UCCCGGGGAGCUCAAUGGUGGAGCAAGAAGCUGUUAACUUCGAGGUUGCCGGUUCGAGCCCGGCCCCGGGAGCCA